CUUCUGCAGCUAAAGGACUUCCAGCGCCGCCUCGCUGGCAAUGCUGCACGGGCAUCGGGCUCAGUUGGUGUUCCGGUUUCGGGUUGUGCUGUCAGUUGCCUUUUUGCACAGCGGCUGAGCGAUUGAGCGAUUGAACGAUUGAACGGUUGGACGGCUGAGCGCUGGAGCGGUUGAGAGUGUGCCAUCGGAGCCGGAGAGUCCUAACGCGCUGCCCGUGGUCUGUGUCCGCAUCCGUAUCCGUAUCUCGUAUCUCCGUGCGUCUCUCUCCGGGUGUGUGCGUGUGGUUGUGCGUGUGUUUAAGUGUGUGCCUGUUGUCUGUCGCUAACGGUGCGCGCGCGUCUGUUUGUGUGAGUGUGUGACUCUGUGCGUGCCCCUGCCAGUGUGUGUGUGUGUGCGUGUGUGUGUGUGCACAACAAUACUAUAUAUCUUAUAUACUAAUACCAGUGUGUGCCCACACUCGCACACGGCCUGCAAAUAAAAUAUUAGAAACAGAUAUAUACAACAAUUCCAGCAGCCGUCGACACGCAUGACACAUGCAAUGGAUGCCAGAACUAAUAGUGGAUAUCGGAAUAAA
RNAcentral lists this small RNA (574 nucleotides) under Drosophila yakuba. RNAcentral describes it as "GE28588". The record is from RNAcentral. Lineage: Eukaryota; Metazoa; Arthropoda; Insecta; Diptera; Drosophilidae.